UGAACGCUGGCGGCGUGCCUAAUACAUGCAAGUCGAGCGAACAGACGCGGAGCUUGCUCCUCUGACGUUAGCGGCGGACGGGUGAGUAACACGUGGAUAACCUACCUAUAAGACUGGGAUAACUUCGGGAAACCGGAGCUAAUACCGGAUAAUAUAUUGAACCGCAUGGUUCAAUAGUGAAAGACGGUUUUGCUGUCACUUAUAGAUGGAUCCGCGCCGCAUUAGCUAGUUGGUAAGGUAACGGCUUACCAAGGCAACGAUGCGUAGCCGACCUGAGAGGGUGAUCGGCCACACUGGAACUGAGACACGGUCCAGACUCCUACGGGAGGCAGCAGUGGGGAAUCUUCCGCAAUGGGCGAAAGCUUGACGGAGCAACGCCGCGUGAGUGAUGAAGGUCUUCGGAUCGUAAAACUCUGUUAUUAGGGAAGAACAAAUGUGUAAGUAACUAUGCACGUCUUGACGGUACCUAAUCAGAAAGCCACGGCUAACUACGUG
Molecule: ribosomal RNA, 495 nt
Filed under: uncultured bacterium
Lineage: Bacteria
Description: partial 16S ribosomal RNA
Rfam family: Bacterial small subunit ribosomal RNA
Source: RNAcentral